RNAcentral lists this ribosomal RNA (488 nucleotides) under uncultured bacterium. RNAcentral describes it as "SSU rRNA". It matches the Rfam family "Bacterial small subunit ribosomal RNA", at positions 26 to 521 of the family's 1533-position model. The record is from RNAcentral.
AGGACGAACGCUGGCGGCGUGCUUCACACAUGCAAGUCGAACGGGGCUCAUUCGGUGGUAACACCGGAGAAGGCCUAGUGGCGAACGGGUGCGUAACACGUGAAGAACCUGCCCCGAAGACUGGGAUAACAGCGGGAAACCGCUGCUAAUACCGGAUGACCCCACCAGGCCGCAUGGCCAGGUGAGGAAAUGGGCCUACCGCUUCGGGAGGGCUUCGCGGCCUAUCAGCUUGUUGGUGGGGUAACGGCCUACCAAGGCUACGACGGGUAGCUGGUCUGAGAGGACGACCAGCCACACUGGGACUGAGACACGGCCCAGACUCCUACGGGAGGCAGCAGUGGGGAAUCUUGCGCAAUGGGCGAAAGCCUGACGCAGCAACGCCGCGUGAGGGAUGAAGGUCUUCGGGUUGUAAACCUCUUUCGAGCAGGGACGAUUGUGACGGUACCUGCAGAAGAAGCUCCGGCCAACUACGCGCCAGCAGCCGCGGU